This 491-nucleotide ribosomal RNA is filed under the name uncultured Lachnospiraceae bacterium. Its description in RNAcentral is "bacterial SSU rRNA". It matches the Rfam family "Bacterial small subunit ribosomal RNA", at positions 37 to 507 of the family's 1533-position model. The record is from RNAcentral. Lineage: Bacteria; Bacillati; Bacillota; Clostridia; Lachnospirales; Lachnospiraceae.
AGGAGUGAACGACGUGGCGGCGGUGCCUAACACAUGCAAGUCGAACGGAGAUAUUGCUUGGAAGCUUUCGAGGUGAAAGAGAAGUAUCUUAGUGGCGGACGGGUGGAGUAACGCGUGGGCGAACCUGCCUCAUACAGGGGGAUAGCAUCGGGAAACUAGGUGGUAAAACCGCAUAAGCGCACGAAGACGCAUGUAUUCGUGUGAAAAGGAGAAAUCUGGUAUGAGAUGGACCCGCGUCUGAUUAGCUAGUUGGAAGUGGUAAAAGCACACCAAGGCGACGAUCAGUAGCCGGCCUGAGAGGGUGGACGGCCACAUUGGGACUGAGACACGGCCCAGACUCCUACGGGAGGCAGCAGCGGGGAAUAUUGCACAAUGGAGGGAACUCUGAUGCAGCGACGCCGCGUGAGUGAAGAAGUAAUUCGUUAUGUAAAGCUCUAUCAGCAGGGAAGAAAGUGACGGUACCUGAAAAAGAAGCUCCGGCUAAAUACGUG